RNAcentral lists this ribosomal RNA (616 nucleotides) under Williopsis culbertsonii. RNAcentral's name for it is "Cyberlindnera culbertsonii partial large subunit ribosomal RNA". It matches the Rfam family "Eukaryotic large subunit ribosomal RNA", at positions 38 to 667 of the family's 3401-position model. The record is from RNAcentral. Lineage: Eukaryota; Fungi; Ascomycota; Saccharomycetes; Phaffomycetales; Wickerhamomycetaceae.
GCAUAUCAAUAAGCGGAGGAAAAGAAACCCACGCGUAUUGCCUCAGUACGGCGAGUGAGCGGCAAAAGCUCAAAUUUGAAAUCUGGUACCUUCGGUGCCCGAGUUGUAAUUUGAAGAUAGUUUUCUGGUUCAGGCUCCUUGUCUAUGUUCCUUGGAACAGGACGUCAUAGAGGGUGAGAAUCCCGUCUGGCGGGGAGCUUUGUUCCAUGUAGAUUUCUAUCGACGAGUCGAGUUGUUUGGGAAUGCAGCUCUAAGUGGGUGGUAAAUUCCAUCUAAAGCUAAAUAUUGGCGAGAGACCGAUAGCGAACAAGUACAGUGAUGGAAAGAUGAAAAGAACUUUGAAAAGAGAGUGAAAAAGUACGUGAAAUUGUUGAAAGGGAAGGAUAUUGGAUCAGACUUGGUGUUGCAUGAUUAUCUUCCCCUCGUGGGUUGUGCACUCGUGCUUCACUGGGCCAGCAUCGGUUCGGACGGUAAGAUAAUGACAUUGGAAUGUGGCUCUGGCUUCGGCUAGAGUGUUAUAGCCCUUGUUGAUGUUGCCUGUCUGGACCGAGGACUGCGGCUUCUGCCUAGGAUGCUGGCGUAAUGAUUCAAUAUCGCCCGUCUUGAAACACGGACC